GCGGGUUUAGCUCAGUUGGGAGAGCGUCAGACUGAAGUCCACUUCAGCCCAUUCUAAAUCUGAAGGUCAUGUGUUCGAUCCACAUAAACCGCA
RNAcentral lists this transfer RNA (93 nucleotides) under Pyricularia grisea. RNAcentral describes it as "Magnaporthe grisea tRNA". It matches the Rfam family "tRNA". From Rfam's summary of the family: Transfer RNA (tRNA) molecules are approximately 80 nucleotides in length. Their secondary structure includes four short double-helical elements and three loops (D, anti-codon, and T loops). Further hydrogen bonds mediate the characteristic L-shaped molecular structure. tRNAs have two regions of fundamental functional importance: the anti-codon, which is responsible for specific mRNA codon recognition, and the 3' end, to which the tRNAs corresponding amino acid is attached (by aminoacyl-tRNA synthetases). tRNAs cope with the degeneracy of the genetic code in two manners: having more than one tRNA (with a specific anti-codon) for a particular amino acid; and 'wobble' base-pairing, i.e. permitting non-standard base-pairing at the 3rd anti-codon position. The record is from Rfam by way of RNAcentral. Lineage: Eukaryota; Fungi; Ascomycota; Sordariomycetes; Magnaporthales; Pyriculariaceae.